Molecule: ribosomal RNA, 133 nt
Filed under: uncultured bacterium
Lineage: Bacteria
Description: partial 16S ribosomal RNA
Rfam family: Bacterial small subunit ribosomal RNA
Source: RNAcentral
GAUGGACCUGCGUUGUAUUAGCUAGUUAGGUGAGGUAACGGCUCACCAAGGCGACGAUACAUAGCCGACCUGAGAGGGUGAUCGGCCACACUGGGACUGAGACACGGCCCAGACUCCUACGGGAGGCAGCAUG